GACGAACGCUGGCGGCGUGCUUAACACAUGCAAGUCGUACGGUAAGGCCCUUUCGGGGGUACACGAGUGGCGAACGGGUGAGUAACACGUGAGUAACCUGCCCACAACUUUGGGAUAACGCUAGGAAACUGGUGCUAAUACUGGAUAUGUGCCCCUGCUGCAUGGUGGGGGUUGGAAAGCUCCGGCGGUUGUGGAUGGACUCGCGGCCUAUCAGCUUGUUGGUGGGGUAGUGGCCUACCAAGGCGGCGACGGGUAGCCGGCCUGAGAGGGUGACCGGCCACAUUGGGACUGAGAUACGGCCCAGACUCCUACGGGAGGCAGCAGUGGGGAAUAUUGCACAAUGGGCGCAAGCCUGAUGCAGCAACGCCGCGUGCGGGAUGACGGCCUUCGGGUUGUAAACCGCUUUCAGCAGGGACGAAGCUUUUUGUGACGGUACCUGCAGAAGAAGCACCGGCUAACUACGUGC
Molecule: ribosomal RNA, 466 nt
Filed under: uncultured bacterium
Lineage: Bacteria
Description: partial 16S ribosomal RNA
Rfam family: Bacterial small subunit ribosomal RNA
Source: RNAcentral